This 496-nucleotide ribosomal RNA is filed under the name uncultured bacterium. RNAcentral describes it as "partial 16S ribosomal RNA". It matches the Rfam family "Bacterial small subunit ribosomal RNA", at positions 29 to 507 of the family's 1533-position model. The record is from RNAcentral.
AACGAACGCUGGCGGCGUGUCUUAAGCAUGCAAGUCGAACGGCAAGAGAGGAGCUUGCUUCUCUCCUAGAGUGGCGGACUGGUGAGGAACACGUGGGUAAUCUCCCCUUAAGAUGGGGACAGCUGCAAGAAAUAGCAGGUAAUACCGAAUCCACUCGGCAUAUAACAAGAGGCGUUGAGGACAGGAAGCUUCGGCUUCGCCUGAGGCCGAGCUUGCGUCUCAUUAGCUAGUUGGUGAGGUAAAGGCCCACCAAGGCGACGAUGGGUAUCCGGCCUGAGAGGGUGAACGGACACAUUGGGACUGAGAUACGGCCCAGACUCCUACGGGAGGCAGCAGCGGGGAAUAUUCCGCAAUGGACGGAAGUCUGACGGAGCGACGCCGCGUGGGUGAAGAAGGCCGAAGAGUUGUAAAAUCCUUUUGUUGAUGAAGAAUAAGGGUGAGAGGAAAUGCUCAUCUGAUGACGGUAAUCGACGAAUAAGCCCCGGCUAAUUACGUG